GCGUGAGGAAGGAGGAAAGCUGCAGAGUUCAGCUGCGAGUCUGUAGGUUCGUACACCGGAUGGCGACUUGCAGACCUGGGCCAACUUUGGACCAAUCAAGAAGGGCCUCAAGAUGUUCAUCAUGUCCUCCAGGCUCAUCUGCUCCAUCCUAUCCAGGAAACCAAAGGCCUGUGGGGACACCGAGGCCCUCUUACUGCAGCUGGACCACUACCCUGGGCAGGAGAGUGUUCGCAGCCCUGUGCCUCUAAACUCGUUACAGAGCAAGUGUGGCCAAAUUCCCAAGUCCACAGACCCAAAUUGAGAUAACCUUCAAAUUGAAUCCUGCCUGGGCAAUACCUGAGCAGCAAAGCAAAGGUCUCUUCUAAAAAAAAAAAAAAAGAAAAGAAAAGCCAACCACAGAAUGGAACAAAUAUUUGCAAAUCAGAUAACUGAUAAGGGACUGGUAUCCAGAAUAAAUAAAGAACCCUUACAACUCAACAAGAAAAAGACAAAUAAUCAAAUAUAAAAAUGACCAAGGAUUUGAAUAGACAUUUCUCCAAAGAAGAUAAAAUAUGGCCAGUAAGCCAUGAAAAGAUAAUCAACAUCUUUAGCCAUUAAAGAAAUGCAAAUCAAAACAAGAUACCACUUCCCAACCACUUACAUGGCGAGAAUCAAAACAAGAAAGAAUAAGAAGGGCUGGGCAGGAUGUGGAGAAAUUGGAACCUCACACACUCGCUGGUAGGAACGCAAAAUGGUGCGGCCCAUUUGGAAAGCAGUCAGCAGUUCCUCAAAUUAAACAUAGCGUUAGCACAUGACCCUGCAAUUGCCCUUCCAGGUCUGUAAGCAAUAGAGAUGAAAACACACGUUUUCAAAACAGCUUGCAAGUAAAUAUUCAAUCAGGAUCAUCCAUUAAUAGCAAAAAAAGUGAAAACACCAAAAUGUCUACGAGCUAUUGAGUGGAUAUGCAAAACGUGACAGCAUAUUCAGCCACCAAGAGAGGUGAAGUACUGAUACUUGCUACAACACAGAUGAACCGUGAAAAUACCAUGUUCAGUGAAAAAAGUCAGACACAAAAAGUCACAUGCAUAUGAUCCAUUUCUAUGAAUUGUGCAGAAUGGGAAAAUCCAUAAAGUUGAUGGAAAAUAGAUUAGCAGUUGCCAGGGUCUGAGGGAGGGAGACUAGGUAUGAGCCUCCUUUUUAGGGUGAUGCAAAUGUUCUGCAAUAAGAUAGUGGUGAUGGUUGUACAAUUUUGUAAAUAAACAGAAUCCUGGAGCUGUAAACUUGA
Non-coding RNA from Microcebus murinus (gray mouse lemur), 1264 nucleotides. The record is from RefSeq and is a predicted model, not a curated record. NCBI's taxonomy places the organism in Eukaryota, Metazoa, Chordata, Mammalia, Primates, Cheirogaleidae.